AACGAACGCUGGCGGCGCGCCUAAUACAUGCAAGUCGAGCGAGAAAGUGUAGCAAUACACUUGUAAAGCGGCGAACGGGUGAGGAAUACAUGGGUAAUCUACCAUCGAGUGGGGAAUAACCAACCGAAAGGUUGGCUAAUACCGCGUACGCCUCCGAGUCUUCGGGUUCGGAGGGAAGCUGCACUGUGAGUGUAGCGCUCUUUGAUGAGCUCAUGUCCUAUCAGCUUGUUGGUAGGGUAAUGGCCUACCAAGGCUUUGACGGGUAGCUGGUCUGAGAGGACGAUCAGCCACACUGGCACUGCGACACGGGGCCAGACUCCUACGGGAGGCAGCAGUAAGGAAUAUUGCGCAAUGGGCGAAAGCCUGACGCAGCGACGCCGCGUGGGGGAUGAAGGUCUUCGGAUUGUAAACCCCUUUCGGAAGGAAGAUGGAACGAGCAAUCGUUCGGACGGUACCUCCAGAAGCAGCCACGG
This 473-nucleotide ribosomal RNA is filed under the name uncultured bacterium. RNAcentral describes it as "bacterial SSU rRNA". It matches the Rfam family "Bacterial small subunit ribosomal RNA", at positions 29 to 496 of the family's 1533-position model. The record is from RNAcentral.